CAGCAGCCACGGGAAUACGAAGGGUGCAAGCGUUACUCGGAAUUACUGGGCGUAAAGCGUGCGUAGGUGGUUGUUUAAGUCUGCCGUGAAAGCCCUGGGCUCAACCUGGGAAUUGCAGUGGAUACUGGGCAACUAGAGUAAGGUAGAGGAUAGUGGAAUUUCCGGUGUAGCAGUGAAAUGCGUAGAGAUCGGAAGGAACAUCUGUGGCGAAGGCGACUAUCUGGGCCAUUACUGACACUGAGGCACGAAAGCGUGGGGAGCAAACAGGAUUAGAUACCCCCGUAGUCCCUGUCUCUUAUAC
RNAcentral lists this ribosomal RNA (301 nucleotides) under uncultured bacterium. RNAcentral's name for it is "partial 16S ribosomal RNA". It matches the Rfam family "Bacterial small subunit ribosomal RNA", at positions 509 to 807 of the family's 1533-position model. The record is from RNAcentral.